AGAUUACGGAACACAAACUUAAUGAUUGAAAUUACCUAGAAUAGAGUAAGACUAUCAGAGUUUAUUUGUGAAGUAUCGAUAAAUAUGAUCACCUUACUAAGGAUCCACUCAUUGAUAAAACAAGACAAGCUUGGCCCAAGAAGGACGUUCGAUUGUUUUUGUAACUUAAAAAUUCGAUUCACAGUGAGGUAAUCAGUCUAAUUAAUCACUGCAAAAUUGUAAGGGAAUUGAUAGAUUAUUGGGAUUUUUAGUAUUUCGAUAAAGGGAAUAUUUUCCGUAUUUAUAAUGUGUAUAAAGUAUUUUAUCGUACUGAGAAACAUGAAAGGUCUCUUACGGCCUUUUUUUAUGGAUUUUAAAUGAAUAUAUGAAAAGCUUAAUGUUUUGAUGCCUUUUAGCCCUAAUAUGAAAGUUCAGCAGGCACAACGAAAGCAAAUGACUAUUAUGAGUUUCCUUGCAAGUUUAUGAGACUGUUAAAUCACAGAUUCUAUCUAGCUAUGAAGUUUCGUCCCUACAUGAUACGUUCACAUGUGUCAUUCGUAUAGAAAGUACUUAGUUUUCACAACCACCUGUCAAUGGUGCUCUUGUUAGCUACAAUACAAAUGGACAACAGGGUAGUAGAGGAGGAACCAAACGAGGAGGUGUAAGCAAUAGAAGUAAUCAGCGUAA
This 666-nucleotide unclassified non-coding RNA is filed under the name Hevea brasiliensis (rubber tree). Lineage: Eukaryota; Viridiplantae; Streptophyta; Magnoliopsida; Malpighiales; Euphorbiaceae. The record is from RNAcentral.